UGCUACAAUGAUGACAUUAUAUUUGCUACUCUUGACUGUGAGAAUGACGAGAGUUACUACCACCAUUACACUUAACUGAGGCA
This is a small nucleolar RNA of 83 nucleotides. Its record names the gene SNORD24. It matches the Rfam family "Small nucleolar RNA SNORD24". From Rfam's summary of the family: U24 is a member of the C/D class of snoRNA which contain the C (UGAUGA) and D (CUGA) box motifs. C/D box snoRNAs have been shown to act as methylation guides for a number of RNA targets. U24 is encoded within an intron of the gene for ribosomal protein L7a in mammals, chicken and Fugu. The record is from Ensembl.